This is a small nuclear RNA of Jaculus jaculus (lesser Egyptian jerboa), 108 nucleotides long. NCBI's taxonomy places the organism in Eukaryota, Metazoa, Chordata, Mammalia, Rodentia, Dipodidae. The record is from RefSeq and is a predicted model, not a curated record.
GCUAGUCAAAUAAAGACAGUGUUAGGAUUAUUUGGAAUGAUACAGAGAAGAUUGGCGUGGACCCUAAGAAAGAAUGACAUGAAAAUUCGUCAAGCAUUCCAUACUUUU